Monopterus albus (swamp eel) is the source of this 544-nucleotide non-coding RNA. Lineage: Eukaryota; Metazoa; Chordata; Actinopteri; Synbranchiformes; Synbranchidae. The record is from the annotation of a RefSeq genome assembly.
UGUGUCCAGAGAAGAAACGUUCGAGGAGCUUGGAGCACAGUCAGCCUGAUGCUGAGGAGAAGGGCUGUGCAGCAGAGAGGCUGGUUAGUUUGUUCAUCCUGCUGCAGUGGAAGAACAUCGUUCACCUGCUGCGUUUGUCUUCAGCAGCUCCACAGACAUGGCGCUCUGCCUCUUUUUCAUUUUAUCGCACUUUAUAGCCAUGGCUUCCAUGAACAGCAUAAAACCACAAAGUACUGAAGAAGCUGUUGCAGAGGGAGGAAACAUCACCCUGACCUGUAAAUAUGAGGGUGUUAUCAACAACAUCCAGUGGUACCAACAGUACCAGAGAUCCAGACCAGAGUUCCUGCUCUACAUCACAGAGGGAGAAUGGAUUCCUCCGGCUCAGUCUGAUUUCUCAGCUCACAUUAACUCAAAGGAGAAACGUGUGGAUCUGCAAAUCGUCUCAGCUAAAUUGUCUGACUCUGCUGUGUACUACUGUGCUCUGCAGCCCACAGUGACAGGAAACACCAGGACUCUGUACAAAAACCUCUGGAGCAAACACAAC